CCUACGGGCGGCAGCAGUGAGGAAUAUUGGUCAAUGGGCGCGAGCCUGAACCAGCCAAGUAGCGUGAAGGAUGACUGCCCUACGGGUUGUAAACUUCUUUUAUAAAGGAAUCAAGUGAGGCACGUGUGCCUUUUUGUAUUUACUUUAUGUUUAAGGAUCGGCUCACUCCGUGCCAACAGCCGCGGUAAUACGGAGGAUGCGAGCGUUAUCCGGUAUUAUUGGGUUUAAAGGGUGCGUAGGCGGAGUUUUACGUCAGCGGUAAAAUGUCCGGGCUCAACCCGGGCCGGCCGUUGAAACUGGGGAUCUGGAGUGGGCGAGAAGUAUGCGGAAUGCGAGGUGUAGCGGUGAAAUGCAUAGAUAUCACGCAGAACUCCGAUUGCGAAGGCAGCAGACCGGCGCCCGACUGACGCUGAGGCACGAAAGCGUGGGGAGCGAACAGGAUUAGAUACCCGUGUAGUC
RNAcentral lists this ribosomal RNA (459 nucleotides) under uncultured bacterium. RNAcentral describes it as "partial 16S ribosomal RNA". It matches the Rfam family "Bacterial small subunit ribosomal RNA", at positions 338 to 795 of the family's 1533-position model. The record is from RNAcentral.